Molecule: long non-coding RNA, 597 nt
Organism: Ictidomys tridecemlineatus (thirteen-lined ground squirrel)
Lineage: Eukaryota; Metazoa; Chordata; Mammalia; Rodentia; Sciuridae
Source: RefSeq, a predicted model, not a curated record
CAACCGCUCCCUGGCAACUGGCGCGGGGGGCGGGUCCUGGAGCUCCGCGCCAGAAGAGGCUGGAACCAGUGAAAAGUUCCUCCUCCGUCAGCUCAGCGGGCUUUCCAGCACCAAGGCGGGAACUGCAACUUCGCAUCAUCUUAGAAGCCUCUGCACCAUGAGAGCCAAGAUGAGGAAAAAGUGAAUGUGCAGACGUUAAAUUCUUCAGCACAAAAGAAGAAAGACAAAGCAGAUACUAAAGCUAACUUGUGCACCCAUGGAGGCCAAAGGAGCAAAAAUAGGGAAUGCCAGAGUACUGGGAAACUGGUUUAAAUUGUUGGACAGCAUGCUACUGUCCAGAUUGGUCUCUCAAUGAUCUAGAAUUUCCAUCACCAUCAGAUCACCAAGACCACCUCUAAGAGAGACCCCCACCUUGCUCAUGACCAAAACAGUCCCUAUUGAUCCUUUGCCCUGAACCUGUGGCAUUUUGAACUAGUUUGUUAUUGGUUGUGUCCAAGUGUAACAUGUGCAUAGUAAAUCAUCUCUUCUACUAUUUUAGCUGAAGAAUCAAAAAAAAAAAAAAAAGAUGACAGUUACUACACAAAGUGAUCUAUAGCU